CACCCCGGAAGGGGAGUGAAAUAGAACCUGAAACCGUGUGCUUACAAGUAGUCAGAGCCCGUUAAUGGGUGAUGGCGUGCCUUUUGUAGAAUGAACCGGCGAGUUACGAUUUGAUGCAAGGUUAAGCAGUAAAUGUGGAGCCGUAGCGAAAGCGAGUCUGAAUAGGGCGUUUAGUAUUUGGUCGUAGACCCGAAACCAGGUGAUCUACCCUUGGUCAGGUUGAAGUUCAGGUAACACUGAAUGGAGGACCGAACCGACUUACGUUGAAAAGUGAGCGGAUGAACUGAGGGUAGCGGAGAAAUUCCAAUCGAACCUGGAGAUAGCUGGUUCUCUCCGAAAUAGCUUUAGGGCUAGCCUCAAGUGAUGAUUAUUGGAGGUAGAGCACUGUUUGGACGAGGGGCCCCUCUCGGGUUACCGAAUUCAGACAAACUCCGAAUGCCAAUUAAUUUAACUUGGGAGUCAGAACAUGGGUGAUAAGGUCCGUGUUCGAAAGGGAAACAGCCCAGACCACCAGCUAAGGUCCCAAAAUAUAUGUUAAGUGGAAAAGGAUGUGGCGUUGCCCAGACAACUAGGAUGUUGGCUUAGAAGCAGCCAUCAUUUAAAGAGUGCGUAAUAGCUCACUAGUCGAGUGACACUGCGCCGAAAAUGUACCGGGGCUAAACAUAUUACCGAAGCUGUGGAUUGUCCUUUGGACAAUGGUAGGAGAGCGUUCUAAGGGCGUUGAAGCAUGAUCGUAAGGACAUGUGGAGCGCUUAGAAGUGAGAAUGCCGGUGUGAGUAGCGAAAGACGGGUGAGAAUCCCGUCCACCGAUUGACUAAGGUUUCCAGAGGAAGGCUCGUCCGCUCUGGGUUAGUCGGGUCCUAAGCUGAGGCCGACAGGCGUAGGCGAUGGAUAACAGGUUGAUAUUCCUGUACCACCUAUAAUCGUUUUAAUCGAUGGGGGGACGCAGUAGGAUAGGCGAAGCGUGCGAUUGGAUUGCACGUCUAAGCAGUAAGACUGAGUAUUAGGCAAAUCCGGUACUCGUUAAGGCUGAGCUGUGAUGGGGAGAAGACAUUGUGUCUUCGAGUCGUUGAUUUCACACUGCCGAGAAAAGCCUCUAGAUAGAAAAUAGGUGCCCGUACCGCAAACCGACACAGGUAGUCAAGAUGAGAAUUCUAAGGUGAGCGAGCGAACUCUCGUUAAGGAACUCGGCAAAAUGACCCCGUAACUUCGGGAGAAGGGGUGCUCUUUAGGGUUAACGCCCAGAAGAGCCGCAGUGAAUAGGCCCAAGCGACUGUUUAUCAAAAACACAGGUCUCUGCUAAACCGUAAGGUGAUGUAUAGGGGCUGACGCCUGCCCGGUGCUGGAAGGUUAAGAGGAGUGGUUAGCUUCUGCGAAGCUACGAAUCGAAGCCCCAGUAAACGGCGGCCGUAACUAUAACGGUCCUAAGGUAGCGAAAUUCCUUGUCGGGUAAGUUCCGACCCGCACGAAAGGCGUAACGAUUUGGGCACUGUCUCAACGAGAGACUCGGUGAAAUCAUAGUACCUGUGAAGAUGCAGGUUACCCGCGACAGGACGGAAAGACCCCGUGGAGCUUUACUGUAGCCUGAUAUUGAAAUUCGGCACAGCUUGUACAGGAUAGGUAGGAGCCUUUGAAACGUGAGCGCUAGCUUACGUGGAGGCGCUGGUGGGAUACUACCCUAGCUGUGUUGGCUUUCUAACCCGCACCACUUAUCGUGGUGGGAGACAGUGUCAGGCGGGCAGUUUGACUGGGGCGGUCGCCUCCUAAAAGGUAACGGAGGCGCUCAAAGGUUCCCUCAGAAUGGUUGGAAAUCAUUCAUAGAGUGUAAAGGCAUAAGGGAGCUUGACUGCGAGACCUACAAGUCGAGCAGGGUCGAAAGACGGACUUAGUGAUCCGGUGGUUCCGCAUGGAAGGGCCAUCGCUCAACGGAUAAAAGCUACCCCGGGGAUAACAGGCUUAUCUCCCCCAAGAGUUCACAUCGACGGGGAGGUUUGGCACCUCGAUGUCGGCUCAUCGCAUCCUGGGGCUGUAGUCGGUCCCAAGGGUUGGGCUGUUCGCCCAUUAAAGCGGUACGCGAGCUGGGUUCAGAACGUCGUGAGACAGUUCGGUCCCUAUCCGUCGUGGGCGUAGGAAAUUUGAGAGGAGCUGUCCUUAGUACGAGAGGACCGGGAUGGACAUACCUCUGGUGUACCAGUUGUCGUGCCAACGGCAUAGCUGGGUAGCUAUGUGUGGACGGGAUAAGUGCUGAAAGCAUCUAAGCAUGAAGCCCCCCUCAAGAUGAGAUU
Molecule: ribosomal RNA, 2285 nt
Filed under: Staphylococcus aureus
Lineage: Bacteria; Bacillati; Bacillota; Bacilli; Caryophanales; Staphylococcaceae
Description: partial 23S ribosomal RNA
Rfam family: Bacterial large subunit ribosomal RNA
Source: RNAcentral